AAAAUUAUAAGGGAGAGGAGAAGAUAGAUCGCGCCAUUAACUUAGACAUAAUAGUUAUUAUUUAGUGUGAUAAAAGAAAGAAUAAUUAUAGACUAAAUAAGAAACCAAUAAAGCUUUAAGUUUCUUAUCAUAACAUUGAAGAAUGUGUUAUAAAAGCCACAAAAGCAUUGAUAGUAAUAGAUAUUGUCGAUGGAUACAGUUGAGGUCAUCAUCCUAACAUAUAAAGAUAGUGUGUCAAAGUAGAAAUAUACAUAAAUACCUGGCGCGCAAGUAUAAUGCAAUUCUUGUAACAAUAACUUGAUAUAGAAAAACAGCUAGAAUUAAUAAUCGAAAGAUUAUCGAUAAAUUUAAUUUUAUUCUUCAAGAAGAUGCAAUAUCAUGUAAAAGCGGGACUAAUUCCCGAUAGUCUUGGCCGACGAAAGUUCGCCAAGUAAAGGUCCGACGCUCGAGGAGGAGCCUAUGUCCCAUCAGCUUGUUGGUAGGGUAAUGGCCUACCAAGGCUAUGACGGGUAGCGGGUGUGAGAGCAUGGCCCGCCUCACUGGGACUGAGACACUGCCCAGACUCCUACGGGAGGCAGCAGUGGGACUCCUACGGGAGGCAGCAGUGGGACUCCUACGGGAGGCAGCAGUGGGACUCCUACGGGAGGCAGCAGUGGGGCAGUUGUCUCAGAACGAACGAAGGCGGCUGGCUCUGAUCCGCACGCUNUGUU
Molecule: small RNA, 710 nt
Filed under: uncultured bacterium
Lineage: Bacteria
Description: bacterial SSU rRNA
Rfam family: Bacterial small subunit ribosomal RNA (bases 266-583)
Source: RNAcentral